Long non-coding RNA from Patella vulgata (common limpet), 3377 nucleotides. RefSeq lists it as uncharacterized. The record is from RefSeq and is a predicted model, not a curated record. The transcript is spliced from 5 exons. Lineage: Eukaryota; Metazoa; Mollusca; Gastropoda; Patellidae.
UAAAUAAGCAAGAUGGCGAAAAUCUAGUACGCUCUAACUAAAAGAUCUGUAAAAUAAAGAGAUAGUUACCAAAUGGGCUGAAAUUUGGCGUGCCGGCAUUAUUCGUCUGCUUUAACAUCAAUUCUCUACGAACAGUGAUAGAGGUGCGAAAGUGCAGUAGCGCCAGUCAAUUUAUGUAUACCAGUGGUUUUCUGCAUUGUGGGAAGUCAUGACAAUUCCGCCGUGAUGUCACUGACAGUAUAAGAGUCAGAGCCAGAUUGAUAUUUCAUCAGAAGAGUAUUUCUGGUAAUAAGUAGAAAUGUGGUCCAAUAACCAAUGGCAGUGGCAACAGCAGGCCCCAAUAAACCAGGCACAUUAUGAAAAUAUGCCACACGAUCAAGUGGACUGGGCAGCUUUGGCUAAACAAUGGAUGGCACAUAAAGAAGGACCUGCUCCACCAUCCUCACUCUUAUCACAAGCACAUGAUCCUCCUCCCCCCCCUCCCCCCUCAAACUUUGAUGCUCACCCACCCCCCAUACCUGUUCAUAUUCUUUCUCUUAAUUUACGACAAGAACAAAAUGAUAUGGACAUAUCAGAUGAGGAAUCCGGUGUACACAGUAGUAAAAAAGAUUUUGAUCAGCCACAUCAUGCUGGAUCAUGGAGAUGGAAUGAUGAUACAGAUAACUGGCAACCACCUAGGCAAAAUUGGGAGAUGAAUGAAGGAAUUCAUCAUGGGGAUACAAUCGUUCAGAUUUAGAAAGACUGCUACUUGCAUAUGAAACAACACAUGUUUUAUCAUCCUGAACUUGAAGUAAAACUGCUCCUAACCCAUGUGAACUGGCAUCAAUGUGAACUUCAAAAGGUUUAGUGAAAUCGGCAUAAGCUAAUACAGGUGAUGAAAUCAAUUCCGAAAUAAGAAAAUCAAAUGCAUUCUGUUGUUCAGGACCCCAGAAAAAUACAGGUGAAAUUUUAGCAGAUCUUUUCUUCUUAGCAGUGGAAUGUCCAACAAGGAGAUCAGUUUAAGGUUUCGCUAUUUUAGAAUAGUCUUUGAUGAAACAACGAAAAUACCCACAAAAACCCAAGAAACUUCGAAUUUCUUCCACAGUUGAAGGAAUAGGCCAGGACUUGAAGGUCUCAAUUUUAUCAGGAUCUGUAUGAAUGCCAUCUGCAGAAAUAAAGUGGCCAAGAUACUUAAUUGACGUCUGAAGAAAACUACAUUUUGAAGGUUUUAAGCGAAGAUUGUGUUGAAGAAGACGUUUAAAACCCGACUCUAACCUUGACAUAUGUUUAUGAAAGGUUUUAGAAAAAAUAAUGACAUUGUCUAAAUAUAUCAAACAUUGUAAAAGAUUCAUAUCACCCAUACAGCAUUCCAUCAUUCUCUGGAAAGAAGAAGACGCGUUAGUAAGUCCAAACGGCAUAGUAUUAAACUCCCAAAAGCCGAGAGCACCUGCGGUAAAUGCUGUUUUAUGUUUGUCUGCCUCGUCCAUUUCAAUCUGCCAAUAACCUGACUUUAAGUCGAGAGAAGAAAAAUAUUUUGAACUGUUUAAUGAAUCGAGGGUUUCUUCAAUACGUGGUAGAGCAUAAGCAUCUUUAAUAGUAAGUGAAUUUAGUUUACGAUAAUCGACGCAGAAACAAAGACCACCAUCUUUUUUCUGAACAAGAACAACAGGUGAAGCAUACAGCUUGAAGAAGAACGAUUUACAUUGGAAUCCAGCAUUUUUUGUAUAUGAUCUUUAACUUCCUGGUACAUUGACGGAGGUAUUCUUCUAUGACGUUGUUUAAAUGGAAUGUUAUCAGAAAGAUUGAUCUUGUGUUUUACUAAGUCUGUCUUACCAAUAUCUGUGUCUGAUGAACUGAACUGUCGAACUUAGCCUUCAGAAAAAUUAUUCUAUAAAUCAUUUGUAUGAAUACUUCCUAAUAAAUCAUUAAAACUUAGCCUUCAGAAAAAUUAUUCUAUAAAUCAUUUGUAUGAAUACUUCCUAAUAAAUCAUUAAUACUAUCAGUUCACGAAUUGGAAUGAACAAUACCACUUGAUGAAGCUGGCAAAUAAUGGAUUUAGCUGGAAUGGUAAUAGGUGUUGAAGAGUCAUUUUGCAUUUUAACUUUAAUACUUUGAGAAGAAAUAUCGAAAUUAUUACAGCGAACUAAACCAGGAACAAUCUUUAAACUUGGAUGUGAAGAAUCAUAAUCUGUGGCCAUAUAUUGUUUAGACGAAAUUGGCUUAGGAAGAUGUGAAGUACUAGAAGGUACAAUAAUAAAUAAAACAUCCAUAUGAAUAUCUGUAAAAGGGAUCUGUACAGGUAUUUCAAUAUAUCCAAGGUAGUUGACCUUAUGACCUCCAGCCGAACGAAUAUCUAAUAAAUCUUUCAAGGGAAACAAUUCAAAUGAUGAAAAAUGACGACGAUAUAAAUUAUCUUCUAAAGUUGAAACCAUAGAACCAGUAUCCAAUAAAACUAAGCAAUUAAUUCCAUUAAUUAAUAAUGAUGAAAUGUUGGAAUGACCAACUAAAUCUGAAGAAAUGGGACAAUUGUUGAUAACCAUGGAGUUAUCAACUGAAACGUUUUCAAGACCUACUGACUGUCCCUUUAAGUAGGCCUGUUGUAGUUUAAAGGACAUGACAUGUCUCCUCUUCUAUGGCCAGGUUGUUGACAAUCCCAACAUAAUAGGACUAGGAUUAAUUCUGGGUGGAAAGUCUUGUCUAUGUUGCAUUGUUGAUGGAGAAGGAACUACAAAUAAAAGGGGGUGGACGAAGAGGAUUAAACUGAGGAAAUGGAUGUUGACGAACAAACUGAGAUGAAGAAGAUGGAAUAUUUUCAGCCCUGUGUGAAUAUGUUUGUCUCUGAUCUAUUUUAGAUUCUAAUUCUGAUACUUUGGAUUUAAAGCUACGAACCUCCUUUAUUAAUGAAGACAUCUGAUGAUGAAGUUGUAAAAAAUCACUGGUACUUUCGUUUGAUGAAUUCAUAUUUAAAGAUCCCAUAGAUCUAGUACAAUUACUUAACCCUUAACCGGUCAACGUCAUUUUGACGUCAUGUCCUCAACUGGUCAGGCUAAAUAAAGGCUGACGUCAAAUAUUUUAUAUGCCUAUUUCAAAGGACUACUGCCAGAUAAUUAUAAGUGAUAGACUCUUGACACCAAUAAAAAAGUUGAAGGGGAUAAGUUGAUCUAUAAUUUGCACUAUUUUUUUCACCUGAUUUCAAAAUGCAAAUUCAGUUAAUAAUUAACGAAAUUUUUCUCUUUUUUUUUCGUUUAUUCUACUUCAAAAGGUGUUUUCUUUGCUGUGUUUAUCAUUAUUUAUGUUUCUUAUCAUUCUCUCUCUCAUCUAUUAUCUAUUUGAGGUAAAACAGACCCUGAGUGAAAAAGAAUUCAAGACAUGUGGGGUAGGGGGUGGGGCCAUUUAAG